AUUGAACGCUGGCGGUAUGCUUAACACAUGCAAGUCGAACGGCAGCACAGACUGUAGCAAUACAGUUGGGUGGCGAGUGGCGGACGGGUGAGUAACGCGUGGGAAUCUGUCUUAAAGUGGGGGAUAACUCGAGGAAACUCGAGCUAAUACCGCAUAUGUAGCUUGCUAGAAAGGGGGCCUCUGUUUACAUGCUUUCGCUUUAAGGUGAGCCUGCGUCUGAUUAGCUAGUUGGUAGGGUAAAGGACUACCAAGGCAAUGAUCAGUAGCUGUUCUGAGAGGAAGACCAGCCACACUGGGACUGAGACACGGCACAGACUCCUACGGGAGGCAGCAGUGGGGAAUAUCGGAGAAUGGGGGAAACCCUGAUCCAGCAAUACCGCGUGUGUGAAGAAGGCCUGCGGGUUGUAAAGCACUUUUAUUGGGGAGGAAAAGUUAAAAGCUAAUACCUUUUAACCGUGACGCUACCCAAAGAAGAAGCACCGGCUAACUCUGUGCCAGCCGCCGCAGUAA
Molecule: ribosomal RNA, 510 nt
Filed under: uncultured bacterium
Lineage: Bacteria
Description: partial 16S ribosomal RNA
Rfam family: Bacterial small subunit ribosomal RNA
Source: RNAcentral